This 1421-nucleotide long non-coding RNA is filed under the name Suricata suricatta (meerkat). RNAcentral's name for it is "lncRNA (ENSSSUG00005002765.1)". The record is from RNAcentral. Lineage: Eukaryota; Metazoa; Chordata; Mammalia; Carnivora; Herpestidae.
GUUACCUGGAAAUCUAGAAAAUAAUGAUAAAACAAUACAUGCUUUUCUGCCCUAGGAACUGAAGACUGGUAGAAGAAAUCUUCCUUCCUUGCCUUUCCACCAGUUCACUUUUCUUUUAAUGAAGAAAGAGCUGGUGACCUAGUUCUUUGCCAACCAUCAAUAGCUGAUGAAAAGGAGAAGGAGGAGGAGGAGAAAGAAGAAGAAGAAGAAGAAAAAUAAGAAGAAGGAGGAGAAGGAGAAGGAGAAGGAGAAGGAGAAAUGAAGAAAGAAAACAGAAUCACAUAGGAGGCUUGGUUUUCCUAUUACCCCAUUACCUGUCCACCAAUUGCACUAAGGCCAGAUCCAUGGACAGCCAGCUGUAGCCACACAGGACCAGGGUCCCCAGGCCACCCUCAUGCAAAGCAGUUAAAUUGGAGGGCCCCGAAGCCAGCUUCUGCCCACGAACACCUCCAGGGUAGGUCUCUCUGGGCCAGCAUCUCUUGUACCAGUGAGGACCGGAAUGUUUUGUCUCAGACCAGGAAUGCUGAUAGAAUCAGACAACUCUGCAACCAGCGAGGAACCCAUUUACCACGGUUUACUUUUCACAUGUGUCCUGAAGAGCAGCCACUCUGUGAAGAGGCUGCUUCAGCAAUAGGAGAGGGGCAGAUGCUGCCAUGGAUGCCUUCCUACCCUCAAAGGAAGUGAUGUCCUUUACCCAAAUGGCUUGGGAAAUUUGAACAUCCUUUCUGCAGGAAUACACCUUUAUGUUAACUGAACACAGAACCAUCUUAACUGCUUAUUCUACUAGUUCUCAAAGUGUGGUCCCUGAACCAGAAGCACCAGCAUCACCUGCGAGCUUAUUAGAAAUGCAGAUUCUACAGCUGGAGCAGGACUUACAGAAUGGGACACUGGAGGCGAGGCCCAGAAAUCCGUAUUUUAGCAAGCCCUCAUGUAAAUUUGCUGCAUGCUCAAGUCUGAGGACUGGUAUUUUAUGCCUUUUGUUCAUGUUUUUAAAUUAAUACUGAUAUUUUCAAAUUCAUGUUGUCAAAAUUUUCCAGUUAAUACCUGCAAACUAUUCCUUCCUUCAAGUGGCCCUUGGGGCCCUAUGUUAUAUUUACUAAGUCAUGGGCUUUAAACUUCAAAAGGGUAGGUCUCUUUGGUCCUGGAGCCUAUAUCUCUGGUUUCGAGUCAUAUAUACAUGCCCUAAUUCUUUUCUUUAUUCACAGAAGUCUAGAUUCUGUCCAGAUUGAUCACUUGAUGGAACUUUACAUUUCUUUGGUUCAUAAGAUCUAUAAAUAUAUUUUCCUUCAGUUUCUUAAGACCAUUGAACUUGAUGGAAUCUCAAGAUAUUUAAUAGUGUAUUUGCUAUUAAGUGAUAAAGUCUUUUAAAUCUUGAUGUGAUUUUGUAUUCUUUUAUAGUAUUAAAACUUCAUAUAUUUGGU